Solanum pennellii is the source of this 635-nucleotide long non-coding RNA. RefSeq lists it as uncharacterized. NCBI's taxonomy places the organism in Eukaryota, Viridiplantae, Streptophyta, Magnoliopsida, Solanales, Solanaceae. The transcript is spliced from 2 exons. The record is from RefSeq and is a predicted model, not a curated record.
AUCAAUUUAUAAUAUUGAAUGUCAAAUUUUAAAUUUUAAAGGUAGAAGAGAGGUGUUGCAUGAAGAGAGAGUGCCUGCUCUGAUAGCCAAGGAUGACUUGCCUAAAACCAUUUUUAUGAAGGGUCUUAACUAAUUAGACUUUAGUUACUACAAUUAAAGUUUAUAUUAUAUGAUCCUAAAAUUUGGAUUUUAGGCGUUGUCUAAGGCUAAUCUGAGAGGCACUUAUCUUUCAUGUAACACCUUCAUUCUCUUCCAUAUAUAUACUAUAUGAGCUAAAGUCCACUCCACUAAGUUAACUGAUCAACAAGAGUCUGUUCUAGUUGUCAAUCAAGAGGAUGGAACACAAUGAAGUCGUCUCAGGUUCAAUUCUUAGCCUAAACACUAGGUUAUUUAAUAUUUUUUGAUCUAUUCUACACUUAGUGUACAGAGUUAUUGUUGGGGUGGAGCUGAUAAAAAUCUUAUGUAAUUAGUUGAGAUGCGUAAAAAUUAACUUGGAGGGCUAAAAUUAGAUAUAAAAAAUAGUUCCAACUUUCAAGGCUAGGCAACUCAUCAAGGCUACUAAGCAGGCUCUUUCAAGCAUAUGAAGCAGGUCUUGUGUGCCUCAUAAUUAUAAAAGAUAAUUUGUUUUGUGAUGA